Molecule: small RNA, 148 nt
Filed under: Papio anubis (olive baboon)
Lineage: Eukaryota; Metazoa; Chordata; Mammalia; Primates; Cercopithecidae
Description: Metazoan signal recognition particle RNA (ENSPANG00000046481.1)
Source: Rfam by way of RNAcentral
GCCAGGUGUGGUGGCGUGUGCCUGUAGUCCCAGCUACUCAGGAGGCUGAGGCAGGAGAAUCACUUGAACCUGGGAAGUGGAGGUUGCAGUGAGCCGAGAUCAUGCCACUGCACUCCAGCCCGGGUGACAGAGUGAGACUCUGUCUCAA